RNAcentral lists this ribosomal RNA (468 nucleotides) under uncultured bacterium. RNAcentral's name for it is "partial 16S ribosomal RNA". It matches the Rfam family "Bacterial small subunit ribosomal RNA", at positions 28 to 507 of the family's 1533-position model. The record is from RNAcentral.
GACGAACGCUGGCGGCGUGCUUAACACAUGCAAGUCGAACGGAAAGGCCCUGCUUUUGUGGGGUUCUCGAGUGGCGAACGGGUGAGUAACACGUGAGUAACCUGCCCUUGACUUUGGGAUAACUUCAGGAAACUGGGGCUAAUACCGGAUAGGAGCUCCUGCUGCAUGGUGGGGGUUGGAAAGUUUCGGCGGUUGGGGAUGGACUCGCGGCUUAUCAGCUUGUUGGUGGGGUAGUGGCUUACCAAGGCUUUGACGGGUAGCCGGCCUGGGAGGGUGGCCGGGCACAUUGGGACUGAGAUACGGACCAGAAUGCUACGGGAGGCAGCAGUGGGGAAUAUUGCACAAUGGGCGGGAGCGUGAUGCAGAAACGCCGGGUGCGGGAUGACGGCCUUCGGGUUGUAAACCGCUUUCGCCUGUGACGAAGCGUGAGUGACGGUAAUGGGUAAAGAAGCACCGGCUAACUACGUG